This 450-nucleotide ribosomal RNA is filed under the name uncultured bacterium. RNAcentral describes it as "bacterial SSU rRNA". It matches the Rfam family "Bacterial small subunit ribosomal RNA", at positions 355 to 796 of the family's 1533-position model. The record is from RNAcentral.
UGGGGAAUAUUGCGCAAUGGGCGAAAGCCUGACGCAGCAACGCCGCGUGAGUGAUGAAGGUCUUCGGAUCGUAAAGCUCUGUCGGUAGGAAAGAUGGUUUAUGGGAUCAAUACCCCCGUAAGCUGACGGUACCUACAAAGGAAGCACCGGCUAACUCUGUGCCAGCAGCCGCGGUAAGACAGAGGGUGCAAGCGUUGUUCGGAAUCAUUGGGCGUAAAGGGCGCGUAGGCGGUUUGGUAAGUCGGAUGUGAAAGCCCAGGGCUCAACCGUGGAAGAGCAUCCGAAACUACCUGACUAGAGUCCCGGAGAGGGUGGUGGAAUUCCCAGUGUAGAGGUGAAAUUCGUAGAUAUUGGGAGGAACACCGGUGGCGAAGGCGACCACCUGGACGGAGACUGACGCUGAGGCGCGAAAGCGUGGGGAGCAAACAGGAUUAGAUACCCCCGUAGUCC